UGGGGAAUUUUGGACAAUGGGCGAAAGCCUGAUCCAGCAAUGCCGCGUGUGUGAAGAAGGCCUUCGGGUUGUAAAGCACUUUUGUCCGGAAAGAAAUCCUUGGCUCUAAUACAGUCGGGGGAUGACGGUACCGGAAGAAUAAGCACCGGCUAACUACGUGCCAGCAGCCGCGGUAAUACGUAGGGUGCAAGCGUUAAUCGGAAUUACUGGGCGUAAAGCGUGCGCAGGCGGUUUGCUAAGACCGAUGUGAAAUCCCCGGGCUCAACCUGGGAACUGCAUUGGUGACUGGCAGGCUAGAGUAUGGCAGAGGGGGGUAGAAUUCCACGUGUAGCAGUGAAAUGCGUAGAGAUGUGGAGGAAUACCGAUGGCGAAGGCAGCCCCCUGGGCCAAUACUGACGCUCAUGCACGAAAGCGUGGGGAGCAAACAGGAUUAGAUACCCUGGUAGUCCACGCCCUAAACGAUGUCAACUAGUUGUUGGGGAUUCAUUUCCUUAGUAACGUAGCUAACGCGUGAAGUUGACCGCCUGGGGAGUACGGUCGCAAGAUUAAAACUCAAAGGAAUUGACGGGGUCAUAGCUGUUUCCA
This 585-nucleotide ribosomal RNA is filed under the name uncultured bacterium. Its description in RNAcentral is "partial 16S ribosomal RNA". It matches the Rfam family "Bacterial small subunit ribosomal RNA", at positions 355 to 937 of the family's 1533-position model. The record is from RNAcentral.